Zophobas morio is the source of this 898-nucleotide long non-coding RNA. RefSeq lists it as uncharacterized. The record is from RefSeq and is a predicted model, not a curated record. Lineage: Eukaryota; Metazoa; Arthropoda; Insecta; Coleoptera; Tenebrionidae. The transcript has 3 exons.
AGACGUUCAAUAUUUGAAAAUAGAUACUUAUAAGAGGAAUUCUAAUGACAAUUCUGAUCACCAAGAAGCUUUUUUAGAAUCUCUUAGUACAACAGAAAAAAUAAUAAGCAAAAAAUUUAAGAGAGUUGUAACAGGCGGGAAAGGAUCUAAACCAAUUGCAAUUUUAUUCUCUAAUAAAAUUCAGAAAUUUAUACAGUGUUUAUUGGAAGUGAGAAAUAACACUGAUGUAGUACCAAAAUCCAAUCAUUACCUUUUUGCUAACCCAGGAUCAGAAAAUCGAUGGAUGAGUGGAACAAAUGUAAUAAGAAAAUUGGCACUAAACUGUGGUGCAACCAAGCCAACACUCUUAACAUCCACAAAGUUCAGGAAACACAUAGCAACAACUUUACAAUUGAUGAGCAUGGAAGAUUGUGAAAUGGAACAAAUUGCAACAUUUAUGGGCCACACAAAAAAAACUCACGCUGAAUUUUAUAGAUUACCGCAAGACUUAUUUCAAACAGCAAAAGUUGCAAAGAUUUUAUUACUAAUGGAAAAAGGAAGAGGAAAAGAAUUCAAGGGGAAAAGUUUGAAUGAAAUUGAAUUACAAAAAGACGUAUAUUACAGUUCUGAAUCGGAAAUUGAAGAUGAAGAAGAUGAAGCAACUCCAUUGUCAGAAACGGCUUUAAAACGUGCUACCGCAUCUACGUCAAUGCAAGAAGAUGAAAAUAACAUUUUCAAUACUCAAAAUGCUAUUGAAAAUAUAAAGAGAAAAAAAAGCGUAACGAAACGAAAUUCAGAUUUGAAUAAAGAAUUAGAUAUCAACAACAAAAAAACAAAAAGCGAAGCGAAUAAAAAAUCAGGACGCCUUCCGUGGACAGAAGCUCAGAAGAAAUUAGUUCUGAAUCACUUUAAAAAACAC